UACAGUAAAAUGCUCGUGAAAAAGAAAAGAAAAAGAAAAGAAAAGAGAAAGAACAAAAAAAGAGAGCAUAUGUACUUGAAAGAAAAUAGAUGUACAAAAGAGCAUGUGAAAGCAAAGUAAGUUGGUGUAUUGAAGGUAAUUAUUCCAAAGGUCCGGUUGAAGCUGAGUCUAGGGUUUUUAGCCUAAAUUUAUCUAUCUUUUAC
Molecule: long non-coding RNA, 203 nt
Filed under: Gossypium raimondii (Peruvian cotton)
Lineage: Eukaryota; Viridiplantae; Streptophyta; Magnoliopsida; Malvales; Malvaceae
Description: long non-coding RNA (GRAI_LNC006342)
Source: RNAcentral